CCUACGGGAGGCUGCAGUGAGGAAUAUUGGUCAAUGGACGAGAGUCUGAACCAGCCAAGUAGCGUGAAGGAUGACUGCCCUAUGGGUUGUAAACUUCUUUUAUAUGGGAAUAAAAUGUUUCACGUGUGGGAUUUUGUAUGUACCAUAUGAAUAAGGAUCGGCUAACUCCGUGCCAGCAGCCGCGGUAAUACGGAGGAUCCGAGCGUUAUCCGGAUUUUUUGGGUUUAAAGGGAGCGUAGGUGGAUUGUUAAGUCAGUUGUGAAAGUUUGCGGCUCAACCGUAAAAUUGCAGUUGAAACUGGCAGUCUUGAGUACAGUAGAGGUGGGCGGAAUUCGUGGUGUAGCGGUGAAAUGCUUAGAUAUCACGAAGAACUCCGAUUGCGAAGGCAGCUCACUGGACUGCAACUGACACUGAGGCUCGAAAGUGUGGGUAUCAAACAGGAUUAGAUACCCUUGUAGUC
This 460-nucleotide ribosomal RNA is filed under the name uncultured bacterium. RNAcentral's name for it is "partial 16S ribosomal RNA". It matches the Rfam family "Bacterial small subunit ribosomal RNA", at positions 338 to 795 of the family's 1533-position model. The record is from RNAcentral.